This 444-nucleotide ribosomal RNA is filed under the name uncultured bacterium. RNAcentral describes it as "partial 16S ribosomal RNA". It matches the Rfam family "Bacterial small subunit ribosomal RNA", at positions 338 to 795 of the family's 1533-position model. The record is from RNAcentral.
CCUACGGGAGGGCAGCAGUGGGGAAUAUUGGGCAAUGGGCGCAAUCCUGACCCAGCAACGCCGCGUGAAGGAAGAAGCCCUACGGGUUGUAAACUUCUUUUGUCAGGGACGAAGCAAGUGACGGUACCUUACGAAUAAGCCACGGCUAACUACGUGCCAGCAGCCGCGGUAAUACGUAGGUGGCAAGCGUUAGCCGGAUUUACUGGGUUUAAAGGGCGUGUAGGCGGGAUUGCAAGUCAGAGGUGAAAACCACGGGCUCAACCUGGGGCCUGCAUUUGAAACUGUAGGUCUAGAGUACUGGUGCGGCAGACGGAAUGCAUAGUGUAGCGGUGAAAUGCGUAGAGAUUAGGAAGAACACCAGUGGCGAAGGCGGUCUACUAAACAGCAACUGACGCUGAGGCGCGAAAGCGUGGGGAGCAAACAGGAUUAGAUACCCCUGUAGUC